GACGAACGCUGGCGGCGUGCUUAACACAUGCAAGUCGAACGGUAAGGCCCUUCGGGGUACACAAGUGGCGAACGGGUGAGUAACACGUGGGUGAUCUGCCCUGCACUUCGGGGUAAGCCUGGGAAACUGGGUCUAAUACCGGAUAGGACCCUGGGAUGCAUGUCCUGGGGUGGAAAGCUUUUGCGGUGUGGGAUGGGCCCGCGGCCUAUCAGCUUGUUGGUGGGGUGAUGGCCUACCCAGGCGACGACGGGGAGCCGGCCUGGGAGGGUGACCGGCCACACGGGGACUGGGAUACGGCCCAGCCGCCUACGGGAGGCAGCAGUGGGGAAUAUUGCACAAUGGGCGCAAGCCUGAUGCAGCGACGCCGCGUGAGGGAUGACGGCCUUCGGGUUGUAAACCUCUUUCAGCACCGACGAAGCGCAAGUGACGGUAGGUGCAGAAGAAGGACCGGCCAACUACGUGCCAGCCGCCGCGGUAA
RNAcentral lists this ribosomal RNA (478 nucleotides) under uncultured bacterium. Its description in RNAcentral is "partial 16S ribosomal RNA". It matches the Rfam family "Bacterial small subunit ribosomal RNA", at positions 28 to 523 of the family's 1533-position model. The record is from RNAcentral.